This is a non-coding RNA of Cordylochernes scorpioides, 175 nucleotides long. Lineage: Eukaryota; Metazoa; Arthropoda; Arachnida; Pseudoscorpiones; Chernetidae. The record is from the annotation of a GenBank genome assembly.
CCCUCGAUAGCUCAGUUGGCAGAGCGGAGGACUGACGUGACCUCCCUGUGCGCGCGCAUCCGUGACAGAGGCCGAUGAGGAAAGACGGUCGUGACUAUAUAUAGGGAUGUUUUACCCGACUGUAGAUGUUACAACGGUGAUCUUUAGGUCGCUGGUUCAAAUCUGGCUCGAGGGA